AGCGUAGCUCAAUUGGCAGAGCAAUUGAUUUGUAAUCAAUAGGUUGCCAGUUCGAUUCUGGCCGC
RNAcentral lists this transfer RNA (65 nucleotides) under marine eukaryotic metagenome. It matches the Rfam family "tRNA", at positions 5 to 66 of the family's 71-position model. Rfam says of the family: Transfer RNA (tRNA) molecules are approximately 80 nucleotides in length. The record is from RNAcentral.